Molecule: long non-coding RNA, 367 nt
Filed under: Cricetulus griseus (Chinese hamster)
Lineage: Eukaryota; Metazoa; Chordata; Mammalia; Rodentia; Cricetidae
Description: lncRNA (ENSCGRG00015033775.1)
Source: RNAcentral
GUAGGAUUCAGCUCCAGCACCAUGUCUCCCUGUCUUGAUGAUAAUGGACGCAACCUCUGAAACUCUGUCACAGAGGAUAAUCAGGACAGCAAAGAGUUCUGGCAGCCACAUGAAGACUGUUUUUAGGGAUGGAGAGAGCAGCUCUGGCAAAUAUUGCCAACAUCUCAAGGAAGCCUCUGAGUGCAGUGAAGAUAUCCAGAAGCAUGAACAUGAGGAUUGUGUGCAGAUGCAAAUGCAGAAUCCAUCCUCUGGCCAGGGAGGAAGAGACCAGAGACACUGAGAGCUGGAGAACCAGGCCAACCUCUUGCUGUAUCUUAUCUGUCCUAUACAAGAUAUUUUGUAAAAUUAUUGUUUAUGUUAACUUAUA